Molecule: non-coding RNA, 751 nt
Organism: Drosophila melanogaster (fruit fly)
Lineage: Eukaryota; Metazoa; Arthropoda; Insecta; Diptera; Drosophilidae
Source: Ensembl
UCACAGGACAGCAUAUUUAAGCUCAGUUGGCUUACACAAAAUAAAUAAAUGUGAUUUGUCAUUUUGCAAAACAUGAAAUGGCAGCAGUUGGAACAGGACGAGUAAACUGUUCGGGAGAGAGCAUUAAAUUGCAGUCAAAUGGCACGCUGUGUGCAUUCCAAAUGCCAAGGAUCCAGAACAUCCUGCUGCAGGACGAGGGAGGGCGAGGAUGUAUUAAAUUAUUCGAGCGUGCAGCAACCAGACGGAGAUACUUUCGUAUGCAACACUGAGCAGUCCGUCCAAGUCCAAGUCCACAUACACACACUCGCCUGUUUGCCAUGCGACUUUUGCCAGAUCAAAUAAAUGUUGUCUCAUGCACGAGGACCAAACCAGCGAACCUUGGACAGGAGGCUAAGCUGCAGAAUGCCUCCUCAUCAGGAAAUCAGCUUCAGCAUCAGCAUAAGCAUCAGAAUCAGCAUCUCAAUCUGGCAGCAAGUCUGGGCCAACUUAAGAGCCAUAUAAAAUUCAUUUGGCCGAGCAGCACAGCAACGAGCUGCAAAUGAAAUGGCGAAACAAGCGUGUUGAAGCCACCUGUCAGUCCAGUCCAGUCCGUCCAGUCCUGCCAGGUGACACAGGAAGUGGGUCAGUCGGAGAUUCGGAUGGGAAAUCUACCUCACAUUGACCUUCAAUUGCUAUGAAGUUGUGCAAGUCAACAAGGAGUUGACUUCGGGCAAAUAUUCAAAUAUGAUAAAAUUUAAUUUGAAGUCACUUU